Molecule: non-coding RNA, 72 nt
Organism: Ictidomys tridecemlineatus (thirteen-lined ground squirrel)
Lineage: Eukaryota; Metazoa; Chordata; Mammalia; Rodentia; Sciuridae
Source: Rfam
GGGGUUGUGGCUCAGUGGUAGAGUGCUUGCCUAGCAUGCAUGACGCACUGGGUUCAAGCCUCAGCAUCACUU